Molecule: long non-coding RNA, 418 nt
Filed under: Brachypodium distachyon (stiff brome)
Lineage: Eukaryota; Viridiplantae; Streptophyta; Magnoliopsida; Poales; Poaceae
Description: long non-coding RNA (BDIS_LNC000455)
Source: RNAcentral
AUACUAGGGUUGCAUUCACUUUAGAGAAUCUAGAAAGCCCUAGAAUUAAGUGUUUGUAUCUUUUAAAAAAAAAGAAAAGUUAAAAUUUGUUAGUCUUCUAUUCACCCUCCCUCUAGUCGACCAUACCGAUCUUUCACCUGAGCGCCGCCUCCCUCCCCUCCCCUGGCGAGCGCUUCCUUCGGCUAGAACCGCCUCCAUCUCCUUUCGCUGGGAGCCCACUCCAUCCCUACCUUGAUUCGCGAGCUCUCCUUCCCCGGCGGCGAGCGCCGCUACAUCCCCUUCCCAGGCGAGCGCCGCCUCCAUCUUUCGCCCGCCACAGCCGCCUCCAUCUUUCGCCCGCCACAGCCGCCGAACAACACUGCCUCCCUUGAGCUUCCCACCGACGACAGCCAGAUCCAGCGACGCGUCGCCAACCUCG